This is a non-coding RNA of Lingula anatina, 45 nucleotides long. Lineage: Eukaryota; Metazoa; Brachiopoda; Lingulata; Lingulida; Lingulidae. The record is from Rfam.
CAAACGGUCCUUUUCAGGACCAACAAAUAUCAAUGAAAAGCUAUG